This 87-nucleotide transfer RNA is filed under the name Nicotiana tabacum (common tobacco). Its description in RNAcentral is "tRNA-Ser". The record is from RNAcentral. Lineage: Eukaryota; Viridiplantae; Streptophyta; Magnoliopsida; Solanales; Solanaceae.
GCUUUCUAUGCAAUGCUUCCUUCAAUACUGGAACUGGACCUUUACGGUCUUAGGCUGACCAGCAUUGUAUUGAUCUAGUUCCAGGUG